AGCUUUGCACAGUGGCAGUAUCAUAGCCAAUGAGGUUUAUCCGAGUGCGAUUAUUGCUAAUUGAAAAUUUUUCCUAACACCCCACCAUGAUGACUUCUAAUAUAGUCGGCAUUGGCAAUUUUUGACAGUCUCUACAGAGG
Small nuclear RNA from Camelus dromedarius (Arabian camel), 140 nucleotides. Its record names the gene U4. It matches the Rfam family "U4 spliceosomal RNA". Rfam says of the family: U4 small nuclear RNA (U4 snRNA) is a component of the major U2-dependent spliceosome. The record is from Ensembl. NCBI's taxonomy places the organism in Eukaryota, Metazoa, Chordata, Mammalia, Artiodactyla, Camelidae.